ACCAGAUGACAGCCAGCAAAAAAUGGUCAUCUCAGUCCUACAAGCACAAGUGAUUGGAUUUUGCCAAUAACUAAAUUUAUGAGGCCCUCUUCAUAAAACAUGAACUUUGAAAUGGUUUCUCCAACUCUCCUACUGAAAUUUUUCUCUUUUAGAAGGAAAUCUUAGUGUCUCCUGGGGAUUUUAUUCCCACCCAAGGUUU
Molecule: long non-coding RNA, 199 nt
Filed under: Capra hircus (goat)
Lineage: Eukaryota; Metazoa; Chordata; Mammalia; Artiodactyla; Bovidae
Description: lncRNA (ENSCHIG00010002292.1)
Source: RNAcentral